Long non-coding RNA from Piliocolobus tephrosceles (Ugandan red Colobus), 2722 nucleotides. RefSeq lists it as uncharacterized. The transcript is spliced from 4 exons. The record is from RefSeq and is a predicted model, not a curated record. Lineage: Eukaryota; Metazoa; Chordata; Mammalia; Primates; Cercopithecidae.
CUGGGGCAGGAGAAUCGCUUAAACUCGGGAGGCAGAGGUUGCAGUGAGUUGAGAUUGCACCACUGCACUCCAGCCUGGGUGACAAAGGUAAACUUCAUCUAAAAAGAAAGAAAAAGAAAAGCUAAGCAUGGGCUUAAUUUCUCUGAGGUUUAAAGCUGCUGCAAAGAGUUACUCUUCAUGAAGUAGGUGGGAUCCCAGCUGGGUCAUGAAAUGUGAGUGGGGUUUGAUCAGCUGGUGGAAGUUGAAGGAUAAUUAUUUAUGUAGGUAAUAGGUAAACACAAUCAGGUGUCUAGGAAAGAGAAUGAGGGAUUCAGAGUGUAGGAGACCAGUUGGAGCUAUAAAACAAGGAGGAUAGGAUUCAUGUCGAAGGUUUGUAGGAAAUCGUGCUGGCGUAAUAUCUUGUACUCAAACAGUUCCAUGGAUUGGUGACAGAUCUUUUUUUUUCUUUUUUCUGAUAAGUCAACUGUUAUGCCUGGAUAUUCAUCUAUCUAUGUAACUGGUUGAGAAACAGGGGAGUAACAGCAAAGAAGCUGUCUUAGAAUAAAUCUGGUGGCAGCAGAAGAGAAUAUGAGACACAUUGUCCUCACAGAGCUUGAAGAGAGUGACGGUAGUUUGAGGGCCACGCUGUUGUCUUAGAGUGAAGUGUGGAGAACCUAUAUGGGUUUGGUAGUCAUGGGUAUGGAAGGAAGAACGAAAUGUGAAAGCCCAUUGGCGGCAGAAUCAAAAUGGCUUGGUCUUUGUAGUCCACUAUUAAGUGAGGAGGAGGAAUUAUUGGCUGACUUAGGAAGAAGUAAAACAUGUGAAAUAUCAAUAAAACACAAAGCUUGCGAUUUUAGUCAGGGUAAAACUUAAACAUUGUAUGAUUCUAGUGAGAUUAUUGAGCAGUUUUGUUCCAUGUAUUUUAUAUCCCAUAUCUUCUAGUUAGGACCCUAUUUCUUUAUUUCUUGACAUAGCCAAACAUUUUUCAAACUGACAGCUUUAUUGUGAUACAGUUUUUAUGUGAUAAGCCUCACCCUUCAAGCGUACAGUUCAGUGGUUUUUAGUAUAUUCAGAGUUAUGCAACCAUUACCACCGCCUAAUUUGAGAACAUUUUCAUCUCCCUAAAAAGAAACCCCGUACCCAUCAGCAGUCACGUACCUCUCUCCCCUACCCUUCAUCCUGGCAAACUCUGAUCUAAUUUCUAUCUCUGUAGAUUUGCCUGUCCUGGACAUUUCAUAUCAAUAGACUCAUACAAAACGUGGCAUUUUGUGACUGGCUUUUCUUUACAGUGAUUAUAAAUCAAAUGCCUGAAGAGGCUAAGCUUAGGAUAGUGUUUGCUGUACAACUUUGACAACUGAACUUUUUUAAAGUUGAAAAUAUGACUGUGUCUGUAUAUAUGGCAUAUUAUCUUAGAUGACCCUUACUUGGAUUAUUAAGAAUUUUUUCUUCUGGUGUUCUUGAACUGUCUCAACAUUCAGCAGGAACCCUUUGGCGACAAAGAGCAUUAAGAAUGUGGAACACAUAUUGACAAAAUGAAGGUAUCUAUUGGGUGGAGGAGCAUUAUGUAUGGAACUUCUCAGAAAACAGGGCUGCUGCAGUGCCUACUCAAUAGAACCGGUCAUCGUGCAAAGAAAUGCCACCUGACUCAAAGGCAAAGCCAGAGUGCAGCUUGGAGCAAAGAAGGUCACAGGUGGCAGAGCAAGGAUUAAAACCAGACAGUCUGGCAGCCCAAGGCCCAAUCAAGAGGAGCUGAGAGUAAGCCAUGGGGCAGAAGGAUGUUGGUGAGGCUGCUUUCCUCUUUAGUUAACAUGAAACACAGGCUGUAACUUUAAUUCUAGGACAUUGCCAAGAAAGUCUUCCAAAGCCAUAGCUUGUUUGCCAUGACCAUGACUUUUAGCAAGAAUUUGUGGCUUAAAGACAACAUGGUGCUCUGAGAAGCUUCUGUUCACUCUCAGGGAGGGACUGGUAGUCGAGCUAAAUAGUGAAAUCCUGGAGCACACAGCCUUUAGGGCAGCUUCUGACCUAUUUCUGUGGUCAGGAAAGAUACCUGUCUUUCCCUGCUGCCCAGAACCUCCAGUUACUCACCUUCAGAGUUUCCUCUUCUGUGAUCACAUUCAGAUGAGAGAUCUGUUUUGUUUUUCUCCGGGUAGGAGGAAGUGAGUCACCACCUACACUGAGCAGUCUAGUCUUCUGUGUAUAAAUGAACAAGGUUGGGCAGCCAAAUUUGAGAACCUUGUAUAAUCCUGAUAUUCUCCAAGAGAAUCCAACAGGAUGUCAGGAUUAUGCACGGUGGUAAAGUGGUCUCCUGUUAGUUGUGUCCACAGCUCUCAUCAGAAGCAGACACAGAUACAUUUGUAGGAAAGCAUCUCUAACGUAAGCCUGUAGGAUUCCCAGAGAUUAAAAGCAGGUAACAAUGAAUUCAGUGACAUCAUAGCAUUCAAGUAGUCAACCCAACAUAUUUCAGAAUUGUCAGAAACAAUGAAUCAUAUGUUUCCCAAAGACUGCAGGUUUUGGAAUUAUCAGAUGCAAAACACGGACUUCAAAUAUUAGAAUUGGGAGAAAAUAGUUACAUGUGAAAUAAACCUAAUAUAUAAAAAAAGAUGGACUCAUAAAACUGAGUGAGCAGUAAGACCACCAGGAAUGAUGAGGAAGAUCUGAAGGGAAAAUGGAUGAAACAGAACUUACAGAAAUAAAAUACAUAGCUGGGUAUGGUGGCUCACACCUGUAAUCCCAGCACUUUUUG